GGUUAUAUCACGUUGAAACAUGGGUUCCCGUACGAUCACUGCAGUUAAGCACUGUCGAACCUAGUUAGUAUCUAGAUGGGUGACUGCUUAAGAAUAACAGGUGCUGUAUG
Acanthosepion pharaonis is the source of this 110-nucleotide non-coding RNA. The record is from the annotation of a GenBank genome assembly. Lineage: Eukaryota; Metazoa; Mollusca; Cephalopoda; Sepiida; Sepiidae.